This 465-nucleotide ribosomal RNA is filed under the name Comamonadaceae bacterium. RNAcentral describes it as "bacterial SSU rRNA". It matches the Rfam family "Bacterial small subunit ribosomal RNA", at positions 56 to 519 of the family's 1533-position model. The record is from RNAcentral. Lineage: Bacteria; Pseudomonadati; Pseudomonadota; Betaproteobacteria; Burkholderiales; Comamonadaceae.
UGCAGUCGAGCGGCAGCGCGGGGUAACCUGGCGGCGAGCGGCGAACGGGUGAGUAAUACAUCGGAACGUGCCCAGAUGUGGGGGAUAACUACUUGAAAGAGUAGCUAAUACCGCAUGUGAUCUGAGGAUGAAAGCGGGGGACCUUCGGGCCUCGCGCAUUUGGAGCGGCCGAUGGCAGAUUAGGUAGUUGGUGAGGUAAAGGCUCACCAAGCCAGUGAUCUGUAGCUGGUCUGAGAGGACGACCAGCCACACUGGGACUGAGACACGGCCCAGACUCCUACGGGAGGCAGCAGUGGGGAAUUUUGGACAAUGGGCGAAAGCCUGAUCCAGCCAUUCCGCGUGCAGGAUGAAGGCCCUCGGGUUGUAAACUGCUUUUGUACGGAACGAAAAGGCUUUUUCUAAUACAGAGAGCUCAUGACGGUACCGUAAGAAUAAGCACCGGCUAACUACCUGCCACCAGCCCCC